Molecule: ribosomal RNA, 652 nt
Filed under: Salmonella enterica subsp. enterica serovar Panama str. SA20030878
Lineage: Bacteria; Pseudomonadati; Pseudomonadota; Gammaproteobacteria; Enterobacterales; Enterobacteriaceae
Description: bacterial SSU rRNA
Rfam family: Bacterial small subunit ribosomal RNA
Source: RNAcentral
UUAAAUUGAAGAGUUUGAUCAUGGCUCAGAUUGAACGCUGGCGGCAGGCCUAACACAUGCAAGUCGAACGGUAACAGGAAGCAGCUUGCUGCUUUGCUGACGAGUGGCGGACGGGUGAGUAAUGUCUGGGAAACUGCCUGAUGGAGGGGGAUAACUACUGGAAACGGUGGCUAAUACCGCAUAACGUCGCAAGACCAAAGAGGGGGACCUUCGGGCCUCUUGCCAUCAGAUGUGCCCAGAUGGGAUUAGCUUGUUGGUGAGGUAACGGCUCACCAAGGCGACGAUCCCUAGCUGGUCUGAGAGGAUGACCAGCCACACUGGAACUGAGACACGGUCCAGACUCCUACGGGAGGCAGCAGUGGGGAAUAUUGCACAAUGGGCGCAAGCCUGAUGCAGCCAUGCCGCGUGUAUGAAGAAGGCCUUCGGGUUGUAAAGUACUUUCAGCGGGGAGGAAGGUGUUGUGGUUAAUAACCGCAGCAAUUGACGUUACCCGCAGAAGAAGCACCGGCUAACUCCGUGCCAGCAGCCGCGGUAAUACGGAGGGUGCAAGCGUUAAUCGGAAUUACUGGGCGUAAAGCGCACGCAGGCGGUCUGUCAAGUCGGAUGUGAAAUCCCCGGGCUCAACCUGGGAACUGCAUUCGAAACUGGCAGG